CUGGCCAUAUCAGAAUGAAACACCAAUUCUCGUAUGAUCACUGAAGUUAAGCAUUGUUAAGCUUCGUCAGCAUCUAGAUGUGUGACCAGUUGGGAAUACCAGGUGCUGUAAG
This is a non-coding RNA of Acanthosepion pharaonis, 112 nucleotides long. The record is from the annotation of a GenBank genome assembly. NCBI's taxonomy places the organism in Eukaryota, Metazoa, Mollusca, Cephalopoda, Sepiida, Sepiidae.